AGGGAUGGGCCUGCGGCGGAUUAGGUAGUUGGUGGGGUAACGGCCUACCAAGCCGAUGAUCCGUAGGGGGCGUGAGAGCGUGGCCCCCCACACUGGCACUGAGACACGGGCCAGACUCCUACGGGAGGCAGCAGUGAGGAAUAUUGCACAAUGGGCGCAAGCCUGAUGCAGCAACGCCGCGUGAGGGACGAAGGCCUUCGGGUUGUAAACCUCUUUUCUGAGGGACGAGGAAGGACGGUACCUCAGGAAUAAGUCUCGGCUAACUACGUGCCAGCAGCCGCGGUAAAACGUAGGAGGCGAGCGUUAUCCGGAUUUACUGGGCGUAAAGCGCGCGCAGGUGGCUUCGUGAGUCGGACAUGAAAGCUCCUGGCUUAACUGGGAGAGGCUGUUCGAUACUGCGGGGCUUGAGGUUGGGAGAGGGACGCGGAAUUCCCGGUGUAGUGGUGGAAUGCGUAGAUAUCGGGAGGAACACCAGUGGCGCAAGCGGCGUCCUGGCCCACACCUGACGCUGAGGUGCGAAAGCGUGGGUAGCAAACAGGAUUAGAUACCCUGGUAGUCCACGCUGUAAACGAUGUCAACUGGGUGUCGGUAGUUUUACACUAUCGGUGCCGAAGCUAACGCG
RNAcentral lists this ribosomal RNA (622 nucleotides) under uncultured bacterium. Its description in RNAcentral is "bacterial SSU rRNA". It matches the Rfam family "Bacterial small subunit ribosomal RNA", at positions 221 to 859 of the family's 1533-position model. The record is from RNAcentral.